Molecule: non-coding RNA, 163 nt
Filed under: pig gut metagenome
Source: RNAcentral
AUCGUGAGGUGUGGGAGAGAAGAAGCAAAAGCGAAAUCGUAGCCCUACGGAAAGAAACUUAAUACUAAGGCGUAUUUGACGGAUAAGUUGACCAAAAGCAACGAAGUCCAAAAGGUAACCGUAACCCAAGUGCGUAGAUUAAGAGGGUAGACGAGGAAAGAGU